AAAGCUUUUCACAGUGAUGUGAAUGUUCCCAGGACAGUCGGAAAGGAUGCUAAGUGUGGAAGAGAAGAAUCCACUAAGGCAAGUCAAGCAUGCUGGGCAAGUGUGGCGGCCUAUCCUGUCCUGGGGACUUGGUGCUGGCCAGGCCCCUCUCUGGUUGCUCUCCUCCCUGGAAGCUGACCCCUGUCCACUGGACCCCUUUAAAGGUGAGGGUCAGCGUUUCAUGGUGGAAGUGGAAUAUUCACCGAGACCCCCCUGGCUUUUCUCGGUGCCUACAUUUGCCCAACUUCAGACUGGCUGUGUCUGGAGAGCUUGCCGUCUUCCUCUUCCAUGGUGGAGGUUCUGCUGUUGCAAAAUGACGUGCAAAGAUCCCCAUGUGCAGGAGCACAUGGCCCAUGGGGUCAGAGGCCUCCACAGCCACCUCUGAAGGCUCAGAAGGAUCAGUCCAGUGCACAACCCCUAACUGAGCUUCCCGGACCAGGCAGACUGUCCUCUUGGGUAAAGCUUCCAUGUGAAAAAAACAAAUAGCAGCAGAUAAUAACAUCAUCAAAUCAGGCACUUAAAACCACUCCGCAGAAAUUCAGGGUUAGCCAGAUGGAGUUCCAAAAUGAGAGGGCCCCUGGGAGUGUCUUCUCCGCCCUCUCCAAGGAGAAGCUUCCGGCUUCUCUUUCCACUUCUGGAUGAUUUCAUAAACGGCGGUAACCUCUGUUGGAAGGACUUUGCUUUCUAGCUGUCAUUUUUAAAAAUAAUAUUUGCUUAUUCUUUGAAGGUUUCGAACAUUUAGACAAUGCAUAUUGAUUAUGUCCAUCACCACUACCUAACGUGUCUCCACCGCACCUCACUCCCAAGUUCAUGUCCUCUUUUUAUUUUAUUUUUAUUGCUAUUGAGAGCCUCAUAUCCAGCUAGUGCUGUGCACAUGUACACGGGUAUGUGACCAUCCACUGGGGCCUGAAUAAUCUACCGGUGGCCACGUCCCCAAAGAGAGCGACUCUCCCUUCCUCAGCAGCCCUCAUCUCCCGAUAAGUCCUCCAGCAGACACAGGCCUCAGAGGACCCUCCUCCAUCCCUACUGGAAUUUUUACUGGCCUGCUCUCGUGCAGAUCUUGUUCAGGAAACCACCGCUUCCGUGCGUUGGGACAGACACGACUCUGGUGGCAAGGAUAUGAAGAGAAGACAGACUGACACACAGACGGACACACAGACAGACACGGGCCGGUGAACUGGGCCAUCUGCUGGAGAAACCAGAACAUGCUGGACGCUCAGCGUGUUUAUCACAUGGAGUUGGACAGGAGGAGACCUGAUGACUUCGUCUGUUAAGAAAAUGUCACCCUUCUAUGAUCUGAACAGCAGCUGACUACUUAUAACCAGGCUGUCCCUAUCCAUCAACCAAAAUGACUUUUUGAUGAGGAGAAAGUGAAAUGUGUUCUCUUGUGCAGGUGCAUCUCUGAGUUUCAGGCCAAGGUCUGUUCUACAGAGCGAAUUCCAGGAUGCCAGGG
Molecule: long non-coding RNA, 1492 nt
Organism: Meriones unguiculatus (Mongolian gerbil)
Lineage: Eukaryota; Metazoa; Chordata; Mammalia; Rodentia; Muridae
Exons: 3
Source: RefSeq, a predicted model, not a curated record